Ictalurus furcatus (blue catfish) is the source of this 1146-nucleotide long non-coding RNA. RefSeq lists it as uncharacterized. The record is from RefSeq and is a predicted model, not a curated record. The transcript has 3 exons. Lineage: Eukaryota; Metazoa; Chordata; Actinopteri; Siluriformes; Ictaluridae.
UAAAAUAAAAGGAAAAUUGCAUUAGGUUGAAAUGCCUUUUAGAAGAUAUACGCUCCUGAAGAAUACACGAAUGUUCACUCGAUCCCUCAUAAAUGCAGGAAAGUGUCAAAUUCAUACAUACACGUUGUCACACAUCGUAGCAGAGAUACGAAGCAGAGAUAAGGCGGAUGCAAGUGCAGGAUAACAGUUGUUUAUUUAAAGAGACAGGCAGGCAGACAAAUCCAAAACGUGAUCCAAAACGUAAUUCAUAAACAGGCAAGAGGUCAGGCGAUUGGCAAACAGGUAUACACGGGGCUAGGCAGGAAUCUAGGUCGAUAACCAAAACAAGACACGAACUAGAACGAGGGACUGGAAGCGGAGAAUCCAGCGCGGACUGACUAUGACUAUGACUAUGACUAUGACUAUGACUAUGACUAUGACUAUGACUAUGACGCGAACUAAACUGCCGCUAAACAUUUACUUACGACUUAUUACUCUUCCGCGUUGUGUGCUGGGAAGCGCGCGGUAUAUAUGCGGACAUGAUUAGCGUGUAAACUGCUAUCAGCUGGGAGCAAUACAGACCCACGUGAAUUCCCAGCCAAUGACGGAACAGGGAGGAGACAUGACAAACAUAAACAAAACACACGUGUCCCAAUGUCACUAUGGUCGACAGCGGAAAAGCAGGUGCUCGCGCAUUCGCGCUUAGAGCACGCUGCUUCAAGGGGGAAUCGUGACACACGUGUUGAUCUGCGGGUCACAUGAUCGGAAACUGCUGUGUUGGUGGCGUGUAGCCUGGGUGUGGACACUUGGAUCUGCAUGCUUGGGCUUUAUCACCCAUGGACAAUGCGACACUUCAGACUGUAAGCUGAAGAUUAGAAAAUGGUUUCUGUUUCUGUUUCUGUUCAUAAAAGGCAUUCAUUCACUCAUACAAGCUACAUUUGAUACUUUCUGCCAUUAUCUUUGACUGUUCCAUGCACUUUUAUUUUCUAUACUGAGUAGAGGUUUGUUCCCAGGUUUGGAUUAGAUCUGCUAAUAUUUGAAAAGCCCUGAACUUGGAUCCAGUUGCAUCUGGUUUCCAAUCAUUGAGACAUAAAGCCACACUUUGAGAUUGCACUGAUCUGAAAUGUUGUCAGUGAUAUUAAAUGGAUCACACUGCCAUCCAAAGAA